RNAcentral lists this ribosomal RNA (445 nucleotides) under uncultured bacterium. RNAcentral describes it as "partial 16S ribosomal RNA". It matches the Rfam family "Bacterial small subunit ribosomal RNA", at positions 354 to 796 of the family's 1533-position model. The record is from RNAcentral.
GUGAGGAAUAUUGCGCAAUGGAGGCAACUCUGACGCAGCCAUGCCGCGUGCAGGAAGAAGGCGCUACGCGUUGUAAACUGCUUUUAACCGGGAAGAAACCCCAGGACGUGUCCUGGGUUGACGGUACCGGAGGAAUAAGCACCGGCUAACUUCGUGCCAGCAGCCGCGGUAAUACGAAGGGUGCAAGCGUUAUCCGGAUUCAUUGGGUUUAAAGGGUGCGUAGGCGGAGCGUUAAGUCAGUGGUGAAAUCCUGCAGCUUAAGUGUAGACUUGCCAUUGAUACUGGCGCUCUUGAGUGCGCUUGAAGUGGGCGGAAUGUGCCGUGUAGCGGUGAAAUGCUUAGAUAUGGCACAGAACACCAAUUGCGAAGGCAGCUCACUAAGGCGAUACUGACGCUGAGGCACGAAAGCGUGGGGAUCGAACAGGAUUAGAUACCCUAGUAGUCC